CCUACGGGAGGCAGCAGUGGGGAAUCUUGCGCAAUGGGCGAAAGCCUGACGCAGCCAUGCCGCGUGAAUGAUGAAGGUCUUAGGAUUGUAAAAUUCUUUCACCGAGGACGAUAAUGACGGUACUCGGAGAAGAAGCCCCGGCUAACUUCGUGCCAGCAGCCGCGGUAAUACGAAGGGGGCUAGCGUUGCUCGGAAUUACUGGGCGUAAAGGGAGCGUAGGCGGAUAGUUUAGUCAGAGGUGAAAGCCCAGGGCUCAACCUUGGAAUUGCCUUUGAUACUGGCUAUCUUGAGUACGGAAGAGGUAUGUGGAACUCCGAGUGUAGAGGUGAAAUUCGUAGAUAUUCGGAAGAACACCAGUGGCGAAGGCGACAUACUGGUCCGUUACUGACGCUGAGGCUCGAAAGCGUGGGGAGCAAACAGGAUUAGAUACCCUGGUAGUCCACGCUGUAAACCGAUGAGUGCUAGUUGUCGGCAUGCAUGCAUGUCGGUGACGCAGCUACGCAUAAGACACNCCGCCGUCGGGUAGGUACGGUCGCGAGAGUUAAACGUUAAACGUAAGUUAGUACGGCGUGAGACGUACGCCGACGGACGACGACGAGGGAGUUAGG
RNAcentral lists this ribosomal RNA (608 nucleotides) under uncultured bacterium. RNAcentral's name for it is "bacterial SSU rRNA". The stretch from base 1 to 517 matches the Rfam family "Bacterial small subunit ribosomal RNA", at positions 338 to 873 of the family's 1533-position model. The record is from RNAcentral.